GAUGAAGAACGUAGCGAAAUGCGAUAAGUAAUGUGAAUUGCAGAAUUCAGUGAAUCAUCGAAUCUUUGAACGCAUCUUGCGCUCCUUGGUAUUCUGAGGAGCAUGCCUGUUUGAGUGUCAUUAAAUUCUCAACUACACUGACUUUGAAUUGGUGUGGCUUGGAUUUGGGGGGAAAAUUGUUGUGGGCUUUUUGUAUAGUCUGCUCCCCUGAAAUUGAUUAGCGGUACCUUUGUGGCACUGUCUACAGGUGUGAUAAUUAUCUACAUCUUAGACAUCUGCUGGAAUGCUGCUUUCUAAACCUUACUUGUAUUGACAAUCUUGACCUCACAUCAGGUAGGACUACCCGCUGAACUUAAGCAUAUCAAUAAGCGGAGGA
Molecule: unclassified non-coding RNA, 376 nt
Filed under: soil metagenome
Description: partial contains 5.8S ribosomal RNA, internal transcribed spacer 2, and large subunit ribosomal RNA
Rfam family: 5.8S ribosomal RNA (bases 1-120)
Source: RNAcentral